UUCUAACCGUAAACGAUGCCAACAAGCGAUCUGUGGGGCGUAAAUCUAUGACCUCACAGGGAGCUACCGGGAAACCAAAGUCUUUGGGUUCCGGGGGAAGUAUGGUUGCAAAGCUGAAACUUAAAGGAAUUGACGGAAGGGCACCACAAGGAAUGGAGCCUGCGGCUUAAUUUGACUCAACGCGGGAAAACUCACCCGGCCCGGACACCGUAAGGAUUGACAGAUUGAGAGCUCUUUCUUGAUUCGGUGGGUAGUGGUGCAUGGCCGUUCUUAGUUGGUGGAGUGAUUUGUCUGGUUAAUUCCGAUAACGAACGAGACUCUAGCCUGCUAAAUAGUUGCUGAAUUUCACAGUUCAGUAUACUUCUUAGAGGGACAAGGGGUAUUUAGCCCCAUGAGAUUGAGCAAUAACAGGUCUGUGAUGCCCUUAGAUGUCCGGGGCUGCACGCGCGCUACACUGAUGGAGCCAACAUGUGUUGUUCCUGGUCUGGAAAGACCGGGUAACCAUGUGAAACUCUUUCGUGGUUGGGAUAGGGCAUUGUAAUUAUUGCCCUUGAACUAGGAACUCCUAGUAAAUGCGGUUCAUUAUAUCGCGUUG
Molecule: ribosomal RNA, 595 nt
Filed under: unidentified nematode
Lineage: Eukaryota; Metazoa; Nematoda
Description: bacterial SSU rRNA
Rfam family: Eukaryotic small subunit ribosomal RNA
Source: RNAcentral